Molecule: transfer RNA, 64 nt
Filed under: Streptomyces aquilus
Lineage: Bacteria; Bacillati; Actinomycetota; Actinomycetes; Kitasatosporales; Streptomycetaceae
Description: tRNA-Met
Rfam family: tRNA
About the family: Transfer RNA (tRNA) molecules are approximately 80 nucleotides in length.
Source: RNAcentral
GCGGAACACCGCCAGCAGCGGACUCAUAAUCCGUCGGCCGUGGGUUCGAGUCCCACCCGCCCCA